GGGGGCGACUUGGAUUCGACGUGGGUCGCGAAACCCAAGGGGCAUGCCGAGGGGCAGAGUACCUCGUAAAUCCAACUGCAAAAAACAUAGUUGCCAACGACGACAACUACGCACUCGCCGCUUAAAACCCGGUAGGGUGCCGUCCGACUGAAGCCGUGCUGGUGCGUUCAGGUUUCGGGCGUCAUACCUCAUCAGAUCGCGACGCGGCCCGCCCGGGGCCAAACCGCUAAAACGCUGUAGGGAUCGCUGGAAAAUCACCCUGUCUGUCGGGGGGGGCUCCGGCUAAAUCAAAUGACAGACUACGCAUGUAGAACCGACGGCAGAGGACUUACGGACGCGGGUUCGAUUCCCGCCGCCUCCACCA
This 364-nucleotide transfer-messenger RNA is filed under the name Gammaproteobacteria (g-proteobacteria). Its description in RNAcentral is "Ga0077536 sp009692365 Standard tmRNA". It matches the Rfam family "transfer-messenger RNA". Rfam says of the family: Bacterial tmRNA, also known as 10Sa RNA or SsrA, is named for its dual tRNA and mRNA-like properties. Its role is to liberate the mRNA from a stalled ribosome. To accomplish this part of the tmRNA is used as a reading frame that ends in a translation stop signal. RNAcentral also lists the same sequence under 1 other name. The record is from RNAcentral. Lineage: Bacteria; Pseudomonadati; Pseudomonadota.